UUCUUGGAGAGUUUGAUCCUGGCUCAGGACGAACGCUGGCGGCGUGCCUAAUACAUGCAAGUCGAGCGAAUCAAUAGGAGCUUGCUCCUGUUGAUUAGCGGCGGACGGGUGAGUA
This 115-nucleotide ribosomal RNA is filed under the name Bacillus xiapuensis. Its description in RNAcentral is "partial 16S ribosomal RNA". It matches the Rfam family "Bacterial small subunit ribosomal RNA", at positions 1 to 112 of the family's 1533-position model. The record is from RNAcentral. RNAcentral also lists the same sequence under 1 other name. Lineage: Bacteria; Bacillati; Bacillota; Bacilli; Caryophanales; Bacillaceae.